Long non-coding RNA from Sceloporus undulatus (fence lizard), 520 nucleotides. RefSeq lists it as uncharacterized. NCBI's taxonomy places the organism in Eukaryota, Metazoa, Chordata, Lepidosauria, Squamata, Phrynosomatidae. The record is from RefSeq and is a predicted model, not a curated record. The transcript has 4 exons.
UUUGUCCAUCCCUGGAAUAGAUGUAUUAGUGAUCCCUGUAAUUGUCAGACAAGCCUAAUCUGUAAAUGGAAAUUACCUGACCUUCUGCUCUUUCCUGAUUAACAAAGUACUGUCCUCUGCAUUUCAGUUCCACUCGUCCAGCUUUAGGACUUCAGGACAGAAUCCUACAAUGAAGAACACAAUCUUCCAGGCCAAGAUACAGUUUCAUUGGGUGCUCUAGGGCAGAGCAAAAGAGAGGAAGAGGAAGAAGACAUGGAAGUGAGAAAGGGAAACAGGGAGUUUACUUCUUCCAAUCCAGUAAACCAAACAAACUCAAAAAACUUGAGAAAGAAUGAUUACAUGCCUUCAGCAGUCAUCAAAGUCCUGGAGUCACCGAGUGGAAUAGGAAAUGAACUGUAGUUCAGUGACCCUCUGUGGCCUGAACAGUGGGAGCUGCCAUGGCAAAAGGAGCCACUUUAUGUGUUACACAGUUGUUGGUGUCACUCAAAAGGAAUUGGACCAAAUCAACAGUAGAGCUCCC